AACGAAUUUUCUUUACUACGAUAACGCAUAUGAUUGGCCAUAUGACGUCUAUGAUACAUUUAGAUCAGACGUUCCACAAACAGUAGACUUUGAUAUUCAACGCACAGGAUCAAUCAUUUACUUUUAUAUAUGGUUUGAUUCUACAAAUCCUUUCGAAUUUGAUCUAUGUGAGAUAGAAAUAAUUGGUUGUGAAGCUGACCGUUAUGGUGAGGACUGUCUGCCCUGUAAUAAGUCUGAGAAUUGUGAAGUUUGUGACGUUAACAAUGGAGCAUGCUAUGUCUGCAGAGAAGGUUACACUGGACCUAACUGUACUCUGAAUAAUGAAAAUGUCGUAUUACAAAGCUAUACUUUGCUGUAUUCCUCGGAUAAAUUUCCGUACUAUAUACCUUCCUAUCGUCUGUUUGAUGGAUCCACUACAUAGCCCAGCUGCAUUGAUUUUACCUCUUCUUCGACCGAAAAGACGUAUUACUUGAACAUUUACUCGAUGAGUUUAUGGAAUUUAAUUCGCAACAUCAAAGACAUACGUUUUU
This is a long non-coding RNA of Saccostrea cuccullata (small rock oyster), 530 nucleotides long. RefSeq lists it as uncharacterized. Lineage: Eukaryota; Metazoa; Mollusca; Bivalvia; Ostreida; Ostreidae. The transcript is spliced from 3 exons. The record is from RefSeq and is a predicted model, not a curated record.